Molecule: non-coding RNA, 2370 nt
Organism: Podarcis muralis (Common wall lizard)
Lineage: Eukaryota; Metazoa; Chordata; Lepidosauria; Squamata; Lacertidae
Source: RefSeq, a predicted model, not a curated record
UUCCCCCCCACCAACUUGCACACAGGAGCAGUGGCAGGGCAAGGGUUAAGGCCCCCCAGGAAGAACAGCCAGCCGUGUGCAUGGGGGGGACAGGAGAGUCCAGGCGUCGCCACCCGAUUCUCCACCUCAUUAACUCCCUGAGUCCUCUGGCACCAGCCUGUCUGUCCCAUGUGAUGGGAACGCUGGGAGGAGGCGUCGGCAUCAGAGAGACCCCCCCACAGGGCGCUCUGCUCCCCCUUUUUCGGUCUGGACUUGGGACAAAGUUUCAGUCCAGCACUGAGCAAGCUGGAGAAGCAACACUCAGAGCUGACCGGAUUCAGGCUACGAGAGCAAAAAGAAUUCAGAGGAAGCCUCAAAGAAUACGCUUCCGCACAAUGGGAAAGUAUCCUCCACUUUUACGGCGAAUCGGCCACGGCUACGAAGGGUGAACGCCACAGGCGACAAAGGAUGGGCGGAAUGGACCCCGACCUGAAAUUCUGAAUAUGGACCGUUCCGUUGGAGGCAGAGAAAUGGGAGGUGCAAAGUUGGAUGUGCAGUUUCCUCUCUUUGCCCCAGAUGACGGGCCUUGGGAACCCGACGCCUCAUUCGAGCAUCUUUUAGCCAUGCCACACAGAGGACUCACAGGCUGCGAUCUCUGUGACGAGAGGAACACUUUGGGGUUGAUCCAAGUUUGUUGGAUGUUGGGAUCAUUUCCCGGCGAGGAGGAUGGGAUGGGAAGCUUGGAGGACCAAGCUGGAGAGGAUGAGCUUGGUGCUCAAGGGGCAGAACUGCCGGAAGAGGCUUGAAUUGCAGCCCUGCAAGCCAAUUUGGGAACAGGGCUGUUUUCACCUGAACUGGGUGGCGCACUGCACCCUUCCUAAAUCACCACCAGCGAUUUGAACGUGCCUUUGCCAUUGCUCCUGGCACCUGUGGAAUACAAAGGCUCAGAGGGUUCGCAAUCCCACAUGCCCGGGAGACUGGGUUUUGACUUUUCCAUGGGGCUCAGCCCCUUCUUGGAUGCCAAAAGCUGGGGAGCUGAAAUCUCGUGAAAGUUGGACGGGUGGAACGAGGCGCCAGAACUUCGAAGAAAGAAAUCCUGAGGAACGCCGACUUAGGGACGUUUCUGGGUGCAUGCAGGACCACGGAGUGCUGCUCCAACCUGGAAGUGCAUGGGAAAGAGAGUGUGCACACGUGUAUGGGCACGCACUCUCCCUCCCACAGGCCCGCAGUACAAUCGGCGCUGGAGACACCGGCCCGAGGCGCGGCUACGGAAGAGUCCAGGGUUUGCUCUGAAAGCCGACGUCCUGAUUCCGAUGUAGGACAGUCGCCUCAUGCUCCUGUCCCACCGCAGAAGGCUUGUCAUGUCUGGAUGCUCCCGCGUGCUAGAGAAAUCGUCACGCUUAUGGAAAUCUAACAUGCUUUUACCCAGAGGUUUCCAGAGAAGAAGUCGUGGAAAGUCAUAGAAUAGAAUCGGAUGGUAGUGGGUUUGAAAUAAGAAUAAGAAUAAAAAGAUGGAUUUCUGCAAGCCAGACCAUACUAUGUGCUGGAGGCAUAUAACCUUCCAUAUAUUUUUAGGCGCUUUACGAUCACUGGGAGGAGGGCCUGCGACGAGUGACUGACAGGCAUGUGAGGAUCUCCCCUUCCUUUCGUGGGGCUGGAAAAUGUAGGAUAACGUCUUGGCGCUUUUCCUUCAUGUAACAUGCCAAGUGCUCCAGGAAAUUCUGCCGCGUUUGCAGCCUCCUCCUGGCUGUGGGGUAUGAGCUGUCGCCUAUGAAGGGAAUAGGAGAUGUCGCAGAGCAUUCUGGAGGGUCCCGUUAACAUUUCAGCACCUCGGACGUCAAGAUCUCAAGCGACAAGUGCCGGGCGAAGCGCCUGCCUGCCCCCCUCCCCGCCAAACUCCUUGCAAGGUCUCGGAAGGGGCUUCUGAGGAAAAGUGACCCGGUGGCAGCCGCCGGCUCUCUCCUGAGCCACACUUUGGGUUCCCAGAAGCUCACAUGCUGCGCGCAGACUUCCUAAUGGCGCUGGGAUUCAGGGAGUCUCAUCUAUCCGUAGGUGAGAGGAUGGGGGACGAGACCGGGGGGGAGACGGCCUACAUGUUGCGUCUCUGAACUGCAUUAGUGGCUCCCGGAGGUCCAUGAAGGGACGGAGCCCGUGGCUCUGCGGUGCAAAGUUGCAAUCCAGGGAGCCAAGGUGUUUGGAACUUUUCAGUUGAAAGAACAAGAGGAAACAAAACAAAACUUAGACAUGGCAUGCAGAGAGCAGCACUGCUCAUCCAGUGCUGAGUGAAUGCUGAGUGUGUGGCAAUGUUCACGGAGCCAGGAGAGGAUAUAUUGUUUAUUAAUAUCCUUCCUAACUUGCGCAUCUUAAAUAGCAGAGACAUCACCUUGCAAA